Molecule: ribosomal RNA, 254 nt
Filed under: uncultured bacterium
Lineage: Bacteria
Description: partial 16S ribosomal RNA
Rfam family: Bacterial small subunit ribosomal RNA
Source: RNAcentral
UACGUAGGGGGCGAGCGUUGUCCGGAUUCAUUGGGCGUAAAGAGCUCGUAGGCGGCUUGGCAAGUCGGGUGUGAAAACUCCAGGCUCAACCUGGAGAUGCCACCCGAUACUGCUAUGGCUUGAGUUCGGUAGGGGACCACGGAAUUCCUGGUGUAGCGGUGAAAUGCGCAGAUAUCAGGAGGAACACCGGUGGCGAAGGCGGUGGUCUGGGCCGACACUGACGCUGAGGAGCGAAAGCGUGGGGAGCAAACAGG